ACAUCUUCAUAGAAUUAUAGUUUUACCAUGACGUCUACAAUAAAUGGGCUGUUUCAGUCUCUUAUCUUAGAAUUAGCUUGUCUAGAGCGAAGGCUUGACCUACUCUAAAGUGCAUCUUAAUAUUAGUGUCUCAAGGUUGAAAUCAGAUUGAAUGAAGGUUGAGUCUUUCCUUUCUAAUCUAACUUCCUUCUUUGGCGCGUGCUUAUCUUAUUGUCUUGGUUUUCUUGGAUGCAUGUAUCAAUAUUGU
RNAcentral lists this long non-coding RNA (247 nucleotides) under Elaeis guineensis (African oil palm). Its description in RNAcentral is "long non-coding RNA (EGUI_LNC023760)". The record is from RNAcentral. Lineage: Eukaryota; Viridiplantae; Streptophyta; Magnoliopsida; Arecales; Arecaceae.